This 425-nucleotide ribosomal RNA is filed under the name uncultured bacterium. RNAcentral describes it as "partial 16S ribosomal RNA". It matches the Rfam family "Bacterial small subunit ribosomal RNA", at positions 354 to 796 of the family's 1533-position model. The record is from RNAcentral.
GUUAGGAAUAUUGGACAAUGGGCGCAAGCCUGAUCCAGCCAUGCCGCGUGAGUGAUGAAGGCCUUCGGGUUGUAAAGCUCUUUAGCCGAUGAUUAUAAUGACUGUAGUCGGAAAAUAAGCCCCGGCUAACUUCGUGCCAGCAGCCGCGGUAAUACGAAGGGGGCGAGCGUUAUUCGGAAUCACUGGGCGUAAAGCGUGCGUAGGCGGCUUUGCAAGUUGGGAGUGAAAGCCCAGGGCUCAACCCUGGAAUUGCUCUCAAAACUGCAAGGCUCGAAUUCGGGAGAGGAUAGCGGAAUUGUCAGUGUAGCAGUGAAAUGCGUAGAUAUUGACAGGAACACCAGUGGCGUAAGCGGCUAUCUGGACCGAUAUUGACGCUGAUGCACGAAAGCGUGGGGAUCAAACAGGAUUAGAUACCCCGGUAGUCC